AUGGGUUCGGUCCGUCUUUUCCUGAUCUUUGUUUGUCCCCCAAAAAAAGGCAUGAGAGGACGUUGCAGAUGUCCGGGACGGGCACAACUUCUUCUAACGCUAGAAGACCACAAGAAGAAACCCGGGACCAGAGCAUGUCGUGAAAGACGCACACGGGGCGGGCGUGCUUCGACCGUGUCUCCAGGGCACAGUUGA
This 195-nucleotide ribosomal RNA is filed under the name Triticum aestivum (bread wheat). RNAcentral's name for it is "partial small subunit ribosomal RNA". Lineage: Eukaryota; Viridiplantae; Streptophyta; Magnoliopsida; Poales; Poaceae. The record is from RNAcentral.